GUAAGAGUCUUGGAGGUAGAGCACUGAUUGGACUAGGGGUCCUCAUCGGAUUACCGAAUUCAGUCAAACUCCGAAUGCCAAUGACUUAUCCUUAGGAGUCAGACUGCGAGUGAUAAGAUCCGUAGUCAAAAGGGAAACAGCCCAGACCGCCAGCUAAGGUCCCAAAGUGUGUAUUAAGUGGAAAAGGAUGUGGAGUUGCUUAGACAACUAGGAUGUUGGCUUAGAAGCAGCCACCAUUUAAAGAGUGCGUAAUAGCUCACUAGUCGAGUGACUCUGCGCCGAAAAUGUACCGGGGCUAAAUACACCACCGAAGCUGCGGAUUGAUACCAAUGGUAUCAGUGGUAGGGGAGCGUUCUAAGGACAGUGAAGUCAGACCGGAAGGACUGGUGGAGUGCUUAGAAGUGAGAAUGCCGGUAUGAGUAGCGAAAGACGGGUGAGAAUCCCGUCCACCGAAUGCCUAAGGUUUCCUGAGGAAGGCUCGUCCGCUCAGGGUUAGUCAGGACCUAAGCCGAGGCCGACAGGCGUAGGCGAUGGACAACAGGUUGAUAUUCCUGUACCACCUCUUUAUCGUUUGAGCAAUGGAGGGACGCAGAAGGAUAGAAGAAGCGUGCGAUUGGUUGUGCACGUCCAAGCAGUUAGGCUGAUAAGUAGGCAAAUCCGCUUAUCGUGAAGGCUGAGCUGUGAUGGGGAAGCUCCUUAUGGAGCGAAGUCUUUGAUUCCCCGCUGCCAAGAAAAGCUUCUAGCGAGAUAAAAGGUGCCUGUACCGCAAACCGACACAGGUAGGCGAGGAGAGAAUCCUAAGGUGUGCGAGAGAACUCUGGUUAAGGAACUCGGCAAAAUGACCCCGUAACUUCGGGAGAAGGGGUGCUUUCUUAACGGAAAGCCGCAGUGAAUAGGCCCAAGCGACUGUUUAGCAAAAACACAGCUCUCUGCGAAGCCGUAAGGCGAAGUAUAGGGGGUGACACCUGCCCGGUGCUGGAAGGUUAAGGAGAGGGGUUAGCGUAAGCGAAGCUCUGAACUGAAGCCCCAGUAAACGGCGGCCGUAACUAUAACGGUCCUAAGGUAGCGAAAUUCCUUGUCGGGUAAGUUCCGACCCGCACGAAAGGUGUAACGAUUUGGGCACUGUCUCAACCAGAGACUCGGUGAAAUUAUAGUACCUGUGAAGAUGCAGGUUACCCGCGACAGGACGGAAAGACCCCGUGGAGCUUUACUGUAGCCUGAUAUUGAAUUUUGGUACAGUUUGUACAGGAUAGGCGGGAGCCUUUGAAACCGGAGCGCUAGCUUCGGUGGAGGCGCUGGUGGGAUACCGCCCUGACUGUAUUGAAAUUCUAACCUACGGGUCUUAUCGACCCGGGAGACAGUGUCAGGUGGGCAGUUUGACUGGGGCGGUCGCCUCCUAAAGUGUAACGGAGGCGCCCAAAGGUUCCCUCAGAAUGGUUGGAAAUCAUUCGUAGAGUGCAAAGGCAUAAGGGAGCUUGACUGCGAGACCUACAAGUCGAGCAGGGACGAAAGUCGGGCUUAGUGAUCCGGUGGUUCCGCAUGGAAGGGCCAUCGCUCAACGGAUAAAAGCUACCCCGGGGAUAACAGGCUUAUCUCCCCCAAGAGUCCACAUCGACGGGGAGGUUUGGCACCUCGAUGUCGGCUCAUCGCAUCCUGGGGCUGUAGUCGGUCCCAAGGGUUGGGCUGUUCGCCCAUUAAAGCGGUACGCGAGCUGGGUUCAGAACGUCGUGAGACAGUUCGGUCCCUAUCCGUCGUGGGCGUAGGAAAUUUGAGAGGAGCUGUCCUUAGUACGAGAGGACCGGGAUGGACGCACCGCUGGUGUACCAGUUGUUCUGCCAAGGGCAUAGCUGGGUAGCUAUGUGCGGAAGGGAUAAGUGCUGAAAGCAUCUAAGCAUGAAGCCCCCCUCAAGAUGAGAUUUCCCAUAGCGUAAGCUAGUAAGAUCCCUGAAAGAUGAUCAGGUUGAUAGGUUCGAGGUGGAAGCAUGGUGACAUGUGGAGCUGACGAAUACUAAUAGAUCGAGGACUUAACCAU
RNAcentral lists this ribosomal RNA (2032 nucleotides) under Bacillus cereus W. RNAcentral's name for it is "bacterial LSU rRNA". It matches the Rfam family "Bacterial large subunit ribosomal RNA", at positions 887 to 2925 of the family's 2925-position model. The record is from RNAcentral. Lineage: Bacteria; Bacillati; Bacillota; Bacilli; Caryophanales; Bacillaceae.